GUAUCAAUAAGCGGAGGAAAAGAAACUAACAAGGAUUCCCCUAGUAACUGCGAGUGAAGCGGGAAAAGCUCAAAUUUAAAAUCUGGUGGUCUUUGGCCAUCCGAGUUGUAAUUUAGAGAGGCGUUUUCCGCGCUGGACCGUGCACAAGUCUCCUGGAAUGGAGCUCAUAGAGGGUGAGAAUCCCGUCUUUGACAUGGACUGCCUGCAUGUUGUGGUAUGCUCUCAAAGAGUCGAGUUGUUUGGGAAUGCAGCCUAAAAUGGGUGGUAAAUUUCAUCUAAAGCUAAAUAUUGGCGAGAGACCGAUAGCGCACAAGUA
Molecule: ribosomal RNA, 316 nt
Filed under: uncultured Bolbitiaceae
Lineage: Eukaryota; Fungi; Basidiomycota; Agaricomycetes; Agaricales; Bolbitiaceae
Description: partial large subunit ribosomal RNA
Rfam family: Eukaryotic large subunit ribosomal RNA
Source: RNAcentral